CCUACGGGUGGCAGCAGUGGGGAAUAUUGCGCAAUGGGCGAAAGCCUGACGCAGCGACGCCGCGUGAGGGAUGAAGGUCUUCGGAUCGUAAACCUCUUUCAGCAGGGAAGAACGGUCACUGUGCUAAUCAGCAGUGAAUUGCCGGUACCUGCAAAGGAAGCACCGGCUAACUCCGUGCCAGCCGCCGCGGUAAUACGGAGGGUGCGAGCGUUAAUCGGAAUUACUGGGCGUAAAGCGCUCGUAGGCGGUAUGGCAAGUCAAGUGUGAAAUCCCCGCGCUCAACGUGGGAACUGCCUGUGAAACUGGCAAACUGGAGUGUGUGAGAGGCGAGUGGAAUUCCAGGUGUAGGAGUGAAAUCCGUAGAUAUCCGGAGGAACAUCAGUGGCGAAGGCGAAUAUCUGGCACAUAACUGACGCUGAGGAGCGAAAGCGUGGGGAGCAAACAGGAUUAGAUACCCUAGUAGUC
RNAcentral lists this ribosomal RNA (465 nucleotides) under uncultured bacterium. Its description in RNAcentral is "partial 16S ribosomal RNA". It matches the Rfam family "Bacterial small subunit ribosomal RNA", at positions 338 to 795 of the family's 1533-position model. The record is from RNAcentral.